UACGUAGGAGGCAAGCGUUAUUCGGAUUUACUGGGCGUAAAGCGGGCGCAGGCGGUUUUUCAAGUCGGAUGUAAAAUCUCCCGGCUUAACUGGGAGGGACCAUUCGAUACUGUUGAACUAGAGGGCAGCAGAGGGAGGUGGAAUUCCCGGUGUAGUGGUGAAAUGCGUAGAUAUCGGGAGGAACACCAGUGGCGAAGGCGGCCUCCUGGGCUGUACCUGACGCUGAGGCCCAAAAGCGUGGGGAGCGAACAGGAUUAGAUACCCCCCGUA
This 270-nucleotide ribosomal RNA is filed under the name uncultured prokaryote. RNAcentral describes it as "partial 16S ribosomal RNA". It matches the Rfam family "Bacterial small subunit ribosomal RNA", at positions 524 to 792 of the family's 1533-position model. The record is from RNAcentral.